UCGGACUGUAGUCUGCAACCCGACUACACGAAGCUGGAAUCGCUAGUAAUCGCGAAUCAGAAUGUCGCGGUGAAUACGUUCCCGGGUCUUGUACACACCGCCCGUCACACCAUGGGAGUCGGGAAUGCCCGAAGUCAGUGACCCAACCUAUAGGAGGGAGCUGCCGAAGGCAGGUCUGAUAACUGGGGUGAAGUCGUAACAAGGUAUC
This 208-nucleotide ribosomal RNA is filed under the name uncultured bacterium. Its description in RNAcentral is "partial 16S ribosomal RNA". It matches the Rfam family "Bacterial small subunit ribosomal RNA", at positions 1293 to 1500 of the family's 1533-position model. The record is from RNAcentral.